UUUCCGUAGGUGAACCUGCGGAAGGAUCUUUAUCGUACAAAAUGCGAGCAGCAUGCGAGGGAUGUCGCUGAACCUAGAGUCGUGCACGCCCGAGUGUGUCCUCUUGAAUAAUCAUCCAUCUCACCCUUUGUGCAUCACAUGGUGGGCACCCUUCGGGAUCAUCUCGGCGGAGGACUCGAGCUUUAACUCAAACCACCUUUUAAAAGUGUAGAAUGACCACAUAUAACGCAUCAAAACAACUUUCAACAACGGAUAUCUUCGGUCUCGCAUCAACGAAUA
Molecule: unclassified non-coding RNA, 279 nt
Filed under: plant metagenome
Description: partial contains small subunit ribosomal RNA, internal transcribed spacer 1, and 5.8S ribosomal RNA
Source: RNAcentral